GACACACCCCGUCCCGAAGGAGGGCGUGCUGGCCGUCACGUGAGAGUGACGUAACCAUUUACACAGUUCGGAAGCUUUAAAGAAUACAAUUACUAAGAUAACACACCCGAGGGUGAGUCAUACUUUUGUGAAUUCUGUUAGAACACCGUUGGAUUCCUCGUGGCCACCAAAGCUCUGCCAUCUAGGACCUGGAGGGGCGCAAAACAAAAUUGAGUGGGUCAGUAAAACAAAGUUUUUCGAAAACAUUUCAUUUAAAACAUUUCUAACCCCUCACCGUAAAACCUGUAUACUUUCCCAGAAAAAAAAAAUAUAUAUAUAAAACCAUAUAUGAAAUCUCAAAACUUAAAUCCCAAAUCUUUAACAUUUUUCAAGAAAAAUAUGCCAUGCCAUAAAUCAAAAAUAUAAAUCAGGUGAAAUAAGGAAUCAAUCGGAGACCCUGCAGUUGGUCCUAUACGAUUAAUUCAAUAGCUCAAUAUCCCACUAAGCCGGAGUCACCACAGUGACCUAUACGGCCCUACUCUGCACAUCACUCGGAACUACGUAAGGUAGUCUAUACGAUGAAAGGUGUAAAAAUACGCUCUAGUGCUUCUCUCUCAUCAAUCAUCAGCGCGCAUAAUAACUAAGGUCACCCACUAGUCGGAAUCACGCCUAGUGAUCUGUACGACUAGCAUGUCGGAACCCUCACAUGGUCUGUACGACAUCCACCUACUUGGAUCCAAGGCGAGCGUGCGGUGUGGUGAAUAAUAUAAGCACUAACACCUAGGGUGCAAGUUAUGAGCUCAAAACAUCUCAACAACAAACAAUUCAAUGAAUAAAUGAACUCACCUGACUUACCUGUGCCUCCACAGCACCAUGCAACAUGUAUGCAUCAUAUAUCAAUUCAUUCUUUUCAUAAACUUCUAUGCUUGGCAUUUCAAUUCAUACUUUUCAUAAACUUCUAUGCAUGGCAUUUAAAAACAUUUUCUCAUAUAAAUGCAUUUCUGGGAAAACAAUAGUAUAUAGGUAAUACGAAAACAAAACUGCCCACUCACCUGGAGUUCGCCCAACAACUUCCUAGCACCGUACAUCAAGGCGUCAUGAAGAUUAGCGCCUAGAACAAUAAUUAAAUCCAACCUCAGAAAUCAUGCCGAUAGAAUACAUAACUUAUAUAAGACACGUCUCUACGUAGUUCGAUCCGGAUGAUCUGCAACUCAGAUUUCAAAUCCGUAACUUCCAGAGGUCCACAAUAUACCUCUAGGACAACAUCCUAAUUUCAUUACCAUCCAACGGUCGGAUCUCCGUCAAUUUCCAAAACUAAGUGACGGUUAACAUUCUAUUUUAUGAACUUACAACUUCAAUUCCGGAAGAUCCGUAAAUUGGAUUCCCAAUCCGUAAGUUCCUAUAAUCCUCAAAUAUUACGUAUUACAACGUAUCAAAGUUUGAUGACGAUCCAACGGUCGGAUCGUCAAUUCACAUUUUCACCUAACCAUGAAUCGUAACCAACUUAGGUUCAAUUAUUCAAUUUACGUCCAUCAAUUAUCAAAACUGAACCUAGAACCUUAAUCACAUGCUAAUAAUGACAUUGGCGGGCCAUUGGCCACGCACCGCCGCGCGGGCCGCCGCGGGUGGCGGUUGGCCGCCCCCGGCUCGCCGGAAAAUUCAACUAUUUCCAAAAAUUACCAAAAUUUGCAGAUUUGAAGAUCUCAAUGAGUAGAACAACUUUCAUACCUGUGGACAAGGCCAAUUGGGCCUGGAAGUGCUUCAAUUUCACCAAAACCGUGAAGAACCCUAGAAUUUGGUGUUUCCAAUUCGACCUUCAAACUUGUUCCAACGCCUCUACUACCUCUUGGGCUUUGUUCUAGGUCCUAAAGGAAUGCUAAUGAUGUUAGUAAUUGAAAGAAAACAUUUCAAAAUUUCAAGAAUUUAAACAAAAGGGUCGCGGCACCCGUGUGGGUGUUCUUCGCGAAAUCACAACGAAAUUCAAUGAUUCUUGGGGUGAAACAUAAAGAGGGAAGGCCUAGAUGUUGAUUGGGAGUGGUACCUUGAUCCAAUUCGUUGGAAAAUUGGACGAAACGGCGAAAACCCGCCGAUUUGGAAGCUUGGGUCGCGCGGGUCAAAGGUGACCCAUUCCUCCUGUUCCCCCGUGCACCACUCUCCCUCCUUUCCCUCCUUUCCUUCCCCUGGUUGAUCAGUUUCUUCCUCUCUCUUCUUCUGAUUCGCUCGCAUCUUCUUCUUCUCCGAUUGGGCAUUUCUGCCCAGUCUCUUCUUCUUUUCUGUUUUCUGUUUCUUCUUCUCAUACACAUACACACACCAAAAACCUUUCCCUCAUCCCAGCCAACCAUUUCAUUCAUCAUUAAAUCUGGGCCGUCCAUUUUCAUAAAAGAAUUUCUAUAUUUUACUAAAAUUAUAAUUCCUUAAAAUCCCAACUUCAAACUUUAAUAACUUCUUCGAUAUAACUCCAAAUCACGAACCGUCUGCGCCCAUGCGUCCGUAACGACGAGUACUACCAGGAUAUGCCAAGGAAACAAAUCUUAGAUGGCACGACAUGGUGAUUAACCUCGAAUAAUGCACGUACCUUCAAAGGGCAUUUUUGUAAAAUCCUUUAUCAAAACUUUAAAAAUUCUUAAAAUUAGGGACGGGCUGUCACAAUCUACCCACCUUAAAGAAAUUUCGUCCUCGAAAUUUACACAAUCUUUACAAUCCAUCAAUAUCCAUGAAACAGCCCGAAACACAUCUCUCUCAUUCGAUUCUCUGAUUUUCAAGUAGUUUCUUCCACUGAAAGAUUCCUCCAUAAAUUUUCACCAAACUCAUAGUCUUAUUUCUCAGUACAUCAUCUUUCUAAUACAAGAUAGGCACUGGCUCAUCAUCAUACGUCAAAUCCAGAUUGACUUCCAAAGGUUGAGGAGGUAUCACUCGUGAAGGAUAUGAGGUUUAAUGUCGAAGUAUCGAAACAUAAAACAUAUCGUGCCCUUUCGUUGACUCUGGAGGCAACUCAGCCUGAACGUAACUUCACUGACUCGUUCGAUGAUCACAUAUGGUCUGAUGUAUCUAGGACUUGCUUGCUUUUCUUUUUAAAACGAAUCAUACUUUUCCAAGGUGAUAAUUACUUGAAUAUUCCAAAUAGUCUCAUCUACUAACUCAGGGCCUCGAAUACUAACCGUCCCCAAUUCUAAUAAUUUCGAAACACAAGACAUAGCUUUCCACGGCCUUAUGGCGUUACUCUAGGGAACAAACUGAAGGGACCACAUACCCAAGAAGUUUAUCAGAUCCCAAAUCUCUUUUUCCAUCAAACAAAUAAAUAACUGUUGCGCUUGUCUGGAAAGGUUGAUGUUCUCAUACUGAAGUAACAUACGCUGACGUCACCAGUCGAUCAAUUAUUAUUCAAAUUCCAACCUAACUAUUUGGUAUACGAGGAAGCUUGUCCAUGAAAUCCAUAGUAAUAUUCUCUCAUUUCCGCCGUGGAAUGGGAAAUGACUACAUUAUUCCAAAAGACUUAUUUCUUUCUGCUUUAACCUGAUGACUGAUGAUACGCUUACUAACAUACUUCGCCAUUUCUCUUUUCAUACUCGGUAAAUAGUAAAAUGUUCGAAUGAUAAGAUACGUUUUAAUACCUUCAUGACGCCUUGCAUAAGCUGCACCGUACGCUUCGUCCAUAACUGGUUUCUUUAAUUCCAUAACAUUAGGUAUAAACACCUUGUUCUCUUGCAUAAGCUUGCCAUCUGAUUCUCUAACUCUAAGGUCUUUCUUUUUCCCGUUAUUCCUUGCAUUAAAUAAAUUCUUGAAUUUCUUCGUCAAACGCUUGAGUCUCGAGUACGAUCUACCAAAUGGGUCCAACUUGGAAAUUAGCAAGGCUUCUUCUCGAUUUUCGAUACCAACUUUACUCCAGUAGAUUUCAAAUCCACAAGAAGAUGAACAUAGCAAGCGUACCAAGCAUUAAUUCUCACUGGGGUCUUCCUACUAAAUGCAUCAGCCACAAUAUUAGCUCGACCACCCUAGUCGCACAAUCAUAAUCACUAAGCAACUCAAUCCACCUUUGUUGCCUAAGAUUAAUAUCUCUCCGCGUAAACAUAUAUUGGAGACUCUUAGGAUUCAUUAAAAUCUUGCAUUUCUCACCAAUAAUAUAAUGUCUCCAUAACUUCAAAGUAAGAAUGAUAGCCGCCAAUUCCAAUUCACAAGUAGGGUAAUUCGUCUCAUGAGAUCUCAAUGGCCAUAAAGCAUAAACAAUCAUCCUACCAUGUUGCAUCAACACGCAUCCAAGAACAUUCAACGUAGCAUCACUAUAAACCUUAUAAUUACCGCUAUAAUCUGGAAGCGUUAAAACAGGCGUGAAGUGAGAUAAUACUUCAGCUGCUGAAACCUUGCUCACAAUUUCAUCCACUCAAACCUAACCUUUUUUUCUCAUCAAUCUCGCCAAAAGCCAAGCAUUGAUUAAAAUCUUGGACGAACUAUCGAUAAUAUCCUGCUAAUCCGAGAAAACUCUGAACCUCAGUCACGGUUCGCAAUUGUUCCAAAUUCUCAAUCGUUGCUACUCUUUUAAGAAUCCACUUGAAUACCUUAAGUAGAUAUAAUUAAUUUAUCCAACAUUAGCAUUUGUUAAACUUAGCAUACAUCAACAUUCCCUCAAUCUUUGCAACACCAAUUUAAAAUAUCUAGCAUGCUCCGUUCUAUUCUUAUGAAUCUCGUCAAUGGCAAACAAUAACAACCCGGUCUAGAUAUCACUGGAAUACUUCCUUCAGCAAACUCAUAAAAAUAGUAGGUGCAUUCGUCACUCCGAAUGGCAUCCCAACUUGAAAUGACCAUAACGAGUCCUGGAUUCAGUCUUAUGAACAUCCUCACUGCUAAUCUUCAACUAAUAUUAUUCAGACCUCUAGUCAAUCUCAUAAAGUACCCAGGCGCCUUAGAGCUGAUCAAAUAAUCAUCAAUACACAACAAUGGAUAACGGCUCUCAAUCGUUAUCCGAUUCAAUUACCUAAUAUCAAUGCCUAGCCUUAAUGUCCACUUUCUUCCUCACAAAUAAACCGGAGCUUUUCCAAUAUGAUGAAUUAAGUUGAAUGGAACUUUUAACUCAACUUGAACCAAUCUCUAACAUAAGAUUUGCACCUAGAGACAAUUCAAUAGUGAAACCCACAUCUCUGCCUGGCGGCAAUCUAGGUAAGUCAUCUGGGAAUACACCAGGAAAAUGUCUAACCAUCUUUACAUCUUCCAUACUAUUAGGAUCAACAUCAUUUAGCACCAUAUGAACUAAAUAUCUUAGCAGCCUUUUGAUAACAAUCUUCUUUGCUCUCUCAACAGGAAUAAUGGCAUGACUCACUCCACUUUGCUUACCCCCAAGAGUAAUCUCUAGUCAUCUAGGUCGACAAAAAUUAACUGAUUCUCCAUAGCAAUCUAGCUUGGCACAUUUAUACUGCACCCACUUGUGCCAAAAAAUCACCUCAAAAUCCAUAAUAUCCAACGGAAUAAAAUUCACUGACAUGACAUUUUUCACCAUCACUGGACACCCUGAAUAAACCAAAUCAACAUAAAGUGCCUUACUUGUUUACUUACUUAACGAAUCCAACAAAUAAGUUAUAAAUAUUACGGUCUGCAGCCCGCAAUACAAAUAACUCACUGUUGUCUCGAUAAGUAAGUAACAAUUCCUGAAGGGUGUAAUAUUAUCAUCUUGUUCUUCCUUAGAAAUACAUAAAUACGCCUCAAUCGUGCUCCAACAUUACUUUCUUUGGCAACAUCGACCAUAAUAAGAAAUAUAUCAGCCGGAGUUAGCUAGAAUGACAUGUACGGCUGAGUCUACAACUCGACCAUCCAUGCUAGCACAUAAGUCGGAGUCACAUAUAGUGACCUGUACGACUUACUCGUCAAUUUUUCCAAGUGAUAUGUUAAGGAAGACUGUUGGGUAACAACUGAUUCCAGGGACAAUUCAUACCUCUAUGUCCCAUCCGUCCACAUGAACACAUUCACUGAUUCCCACACUCUCCAAAGUGUCUAAUAUUAUACCUAUGGCACAAAGGUACAUUUCCCUUACUCGAGUCACCUUGUCUUUAAGAUCUGGGAUCACCCGUAAAUUUAUCACUUCGCCUCGAACCAGUGGCACUAAAACCUCAGCUGGGAAAAUUAGCUCUAAUUUCACUUCCUUUGAAGCUCUGAGUCCUUCGACGUCCUUGAUAUGACGAAUCUUUAACUUUAUCGUCUUAUUCUUAUUCUCAUUCCUUUCUUAUUCCUCUUUACUCUCGCCGAUCAUAUUCUCAAAGUCCUCAAAGCCCAACAACAUCUCGUAAACUCCUGGUAAAAAGUACAAUGGAUUGUGGUCGUCAAAGAACGCCAAUUCUUCUUAUUAUCCAGCCAAAAACGACAGAACACCUUGACCGGAUUAGCAACAACAUCUGAAUGGAAACAAGGCAAGUCUGUAUUCAAAUUUAACUUAUAUCCAGUUUCAAAAGUUCCUUUAGAUAAUAGACUGAAUCAUAGUGACAAUAAUUUCCCCAAAACUACUAUAUCAGGGAAAUUAGGCUUAUUCGAACUACGUGGCUCGCUACGAGGCGGUAUAGUUCUGACAGAAGACACUAGGAAAUUCUCAAGAUGUCCAGAAUUGCAACCUAGGCUCUGAUACCAACUGACACACCCCGUCCCGAAGGAGGGCGUGCUGGCCGUCACGUGAGAGUGACGUAACCAUUUACACAGUUCGGAAGCUUUAAAGAAUACAAUUACUAAGAUAACACACCCGAGGGUGAGUCAUACUUUUGUGAAUUCUGUUAGAACACCGUUGGAUUCCUCGUGGCCACCAAAGCUCUGCCAUCUAGGACCUGGAGGGGCGCAAAACAAAAUUGAGUGGGUCAGUAAAACAAAGUUUUUCGAAAACAUUUCAUUUAAAACAUUUCUAACCCCUCACCGUAAAACCUGUAUACUUUCCCAGAAAAAAAAAAUAUAUAUAUAAAACCAUAUGAAAUCUCAAAACUUAAAUCCCAAAUCUUUAACAUUUUUCAAGAAAAAUAUGCCAUGCCAUAAAUCAAAAUAUAAAUCAGGUGAAAUAAGGAAUCAAUCGGAGACCCUGCAGUUGGUCCUAUACGAUUAAUUCAAUAGCUCAAUAUCCCACUAAGCCGGAGUCACCACAGUGACCUAUACGGCCCUACUCUGCACAUCACUCGGAACUACGUAAGGUAGUCUAUACGAUGAAAGGUGUAAAAAUACGCUCUAGUGCUUCUCUCAUCAAUCAUCAGCGCGCAUAACUAAGGUCACCCACUAGUCGGAAUCACGCCUAGUGAUCUGUACGACUAGCAUGUCGGAACCCUCACAUGGUCUGUACGACAUCCACCUACUUGGAUCCAAGGCGAGCGUGCGGUGUGGUGAAUAAUAUAAGCACUAACACCUAGGGUGCAAGUUAUGAGCUCAAAACAUCUCAACAACAAACAAUUCAAUGAAUAAAUGAACUCACCUGACUUACCUGUGCCUCCACAGCACCAUGCAACAUGUAUGCAUCAUAUAUCAAUUCAUUCUUUUCAUAAACUUCUAUGCUUGGCAUUUCAAUUCAUACUUUUCAUAAACUUCUAUGCAUGGCAUUUAAAAACAUUUUCUCAUAUAAAUGCAUUUCUGGGAAAACAAUAGUAUAUAGGUAAUACGAAAACAAAACUGCCCACUCACCUGGAGUUCGCCCAACAACUUCCUAGCACCGUACAUCAAGGCGUCAUGAAGAUUAGCGCCUAGAACAAUAAUUAAAUCCAACCUCAGAAAUCAUGCCGAUAGAAUACAUAACUUAUAUAAGACACGUCUCUACGUAGUUCGAUCCGGAUGAUCUGCAACUCAGAUUUCAAAUCCGUAACUUCCAGAGGUCCACAAUAUACCUCUAGGACAACAUCCUAAAAUUUCAUUACCAUCCAACGGUCGGAUCUCCGUCAAUUUCCAAAACUAAGUGACGGUUAACAUUCUAUUUUAUGAACUUACAACUUCAAUUCCGGAAGAUCCGUAAAUUGGAUUCCCAAUCCGUAAGUUCCUAUAAUCCUCAAAUAUUACGUAUUACAACGUAUCAAAGUUUGAUGACGAUCCAACGGUCGGAUCGUCAAUUCACAUUUUCACCUAACCAUGAAUCGUAACCAACUUAGGUUCAAUUAUUCAAUUUACGUCCAUCAAUUAUCAAAACUGAACCUAGAACCUUAAUCACAUGCUAAUAAUGACAUUGGCGGGCCAUUGGCCACGCACCGCCGCGCGGGCCGCCGCGGGUGGCGGUUGGCCGCCCCGGCUCGCCGGAAAAUUCAACUAUUUCCAAAAAUUACCAAAAUUUGCAGAUUUGAAGAUCUCAAUGAGUAGAACAACUUUCAUACCUGUGGACAAGGCCAAUUGGGCCUGGAAGUGCUUCAAUUUCACCAAAACCGUGAAGAACCCUAGAAUUUGGUGUUUCCAAUUCGACCUUCAAACUUGUUCCAACGCCUCUACUACCUCUUGGGCUUUGUUCUAGGUCCUAAAGGAAUGCUAAUGAUGUUAGUAAUUGAAAGAAAACAUUUCAAAAUUUCAAGAAUUUAAACAAAAGGGUCGCGGCACCCGUGUGGGUGUUCUUCGCGAAAUCACAACGAAAUUCAAUGAUUCUUGGGGUGAAACAUAAAGAGGGAAGGCCUAGAUGUUGAUUGGGAGUGGUACCUUGAUCCAAUUCGUUGGAAAAUUGGACGAAACGGCGAAAACCCGCCGAUUUGGAAGCUUGGGUCGCGCGGGUCAAAGGUGACCCAUUCCUCCUGUUCCCCCGUGCACCACUCUCCCUCCUUUC
This 8725-nucleotide long non-coding RNA is filed under the name Malus domestica (apple). RNAcentral's name for it is "long non-coding RNA (MDOM_LNC014344)". Lineage: Eukaryota; Viridiplantae; Streptophyta; Magnoliopsida; Rosales; Rosaceae. The record is from RNAcentral.